AUCGCUAGAGUUAUUGUUAAGAAAAUGGAAUAAACUUAGUAAAGAUAAAAUUUUUUUAUAAAGUUUGGAACAUCAAAUGCUAAAGCAAUUUUCUAACAAUUGAAAUGUAACUAUCGUUACUAAUAACUGACUUUUUUAAUUGCUAAAGUUUGAGUAGCAAAAGGAAUUAGAGACUCCUGUAGUUCAAACCUUCACCGAUGAAAUUUUUUUUUUAACGAAAAAUAGUUAACACAAAAUUUUCUGCCUGAACAGUACGGUCGCAAGGCUGAAAUUUAAAGAAUUAGAUGAGAAAAAAUAUAAUUCGUGGAUUAUGUUACUUAAUUCGAAACAACGCGCGAAUCUUACCAAUGUUUG
Molecule: ribosomal RNA, 354 nt
Filed under: Emiliania huxleyi
Lineage: Eukaryota; Haptophyta; Isochrysidales; Noelaerhabdaceae
Description: partial Bacterial small subunit ribosomal RNA
Rfam family: Bacterial small subunit ribosomal RNA
Source: RNAcentral